CAAGGUUUAAUCUUUGUCUUUUGUUUUCACCCUCAGUUCGCCGAAUAGUUUUUUUUGCCAGGGUUCUCAGCCGUAGGACUUGUUUCACAAGUGUUGUUUGGUAUUCUACCAACAAUGACGCCAAGGCUACUUUUCCCUUUUAGGGAAGCCUUUAGGUUAGUUUUGUGAUCGCCCCAUUUAGGGUAUGCGAUUUAAUUUUCUUUUUUCGAGUGGACAAGUAUCUGCUGUAUACUUGCCUCGUGUUUUUUUUUCUCUGUGACUUUAUAGUCCAGAUUUUUGUUUCCAGGGAUGACAUCAUGUGUUUUGAGCACUAUUCCCUGUGGUUGUGUUUUGUUGCGAUGACGUCCAAUUAUAUUGUUAUCAGCGACGUUUUGUUCUGCGGUUUUAUAACCCAGGCAUUUUUAUUUUAUUUUAGCAAAUAAUGUUAGUUAUGGCCGAAAUAGCCUAACAACGUUUUGGAAAAAGAACGAGUAGAAUUGCAUGUCAAGUUCUACUUUACUGGGGAAAUCGAGUACCACUGGUUCACAGUUGGGACUUUAUGGGGAAUUUUGGAUGCUCGGACAGGAGAGAUUUUUUUUGGCUGGUAGAACAUCAGUCCUGGUAGAUGGAUUAUUUUGGUUUGGUAUUGCUUUUGUGAAAGUUUAGUUAUAGUUAGUAAGUUAGUUUUUUUUCUCAAUUGGACUUUUUGGGGGUCUUUCUGGUGUAAAGAUUCAUUUUUUUUUUUCUCUUUUUCAGUUUGUAGUUCGCUGAGGGCAGCUCAGAUUCUUUCUCCGUGCGAAUGUCUAGGGGGGAGGGUAUUGUAACGUUGCCGUUUGCUGUUUUUUCACAAAUUAAUAUUUCUUCUCAAUAUUCUGAUUUUGGAUACCACUGGCGACAUCUAUUGGCGUGAUUUAGAAUUAAUUUGCAAUAGAUGGCGCUUUUUGCUCAGUUAAUUGAAAUAUACUUUGAUGAAACAUUUCCUAGUGUUUUUAUAUUGAUUAUUCUAUUUUUCAAGUAGAAUAUUUUCAGUGUUCUGGAAAUUGUUUUCAUCAUGGUUUUAUUAGUACAGUAUUUACUUUUUCAAACGGCGAAACGAAACGUAUCGCGAUGUCUAUGACAGAGCGGCUGUCAGUGGAGCUGUCAAAUGACUUAGGAAUUUGUCGAUCGUGCGCAACCGCAAUUUGAUUAUUUUCGGGAAUGUAAUUCCUUUUAUUUCAAAUCGGGUGGUGCAAAAUGCAUCCACGAUAAUUUCUUGAUGAAUAAAUAAAAAUAACACACAUGAGAGAUUCCCUAAAUUCUAUUCGGAUGAGGGUAUUGGGUUGCUGAGGGCUGCGAGCGAAGCUCAAAUUAGUGAACAGCCUUCGUAAGUAUUUCUUUCCCAUUGCGGUUUUUUUCAUAACCUAAUGCCACGUUCCACAUGUGAUGCUGACACACGUAUUUUUCGUUUCAGAUGCGGGAUUUCAUAGAUUUCAUAUUUUACAUGUUGAUAUUUCAUAUAUUUUAAUUUCUCUUCAUUUCGUAUCAAAUAUUUGUCCUUUCUAAACUGCUGAUCUCUUCGCAUUUCCUCCUUGUCAUCAAACCUCUGUCUCUGCAAGAGUUUGAACGCUUACCUGUCGAAGAGAUGCAAGAGCUUCAUCUGGCACUGCGCGCUUGAGGCCGUGGAGGACGCUGCUUGGAGCCUAAAAGUGUGCGAGACCCGUUGGACCCCGGAAGAAGAGAGGAACGUUCAGGGUAACGGCUUAUAACCGCAUGGCUUCCAAGGUACCCACUUUUCCAUCCUUCAAGUAGGAGUCUUUCCGACCUGACAUCGUGCAGUUAUCUUAACUAUUAGAGUCUUUUAAUAUUUAGGCUGAGUUUUAAGAAAUUUGUAGUGGCAAUAAUAUUCACCAAACCGAACCUAAUUAACGACCCUGAAUCCCUUGAGAUUGGCACUAUUACAGUAGUUAUUAUAAUAUCGUAAUUGUUAACUAUAUAGGAGCAUACGAGAUAAAAAUAAAUUGUGUCAAUUGA
Ostrinia nubilalis (European corn borer) is the source of this 1989-nucleotide long non-coding RNA. RefSeq lists it as uncharacterized. Lineage: Eukaryota; Metazoa; Arthropoda; Insecta; Lepidoptera; Crambidae. The record is from RefSeq and is a predicted model, not a curated record. The transcript has 2 exons.